Molecule: ribosomal RNA, 609 nt
Filed under: Escherichia coli
Lineage: Bacteria; Pseudomonadati; Pseudomonadota; Gammaproteobacteria; Enterobacterales; Enterobacteriaceae
Also listed under: 1 other name
Description: partial 23S ribosomal RNA
Rfam family: Bacterial large subunit ribosomal RNA
Source: RNAcentral
UAAUCCUGGUCGGACAUCAGGAGGUUAGUGCAAUGGCAUAAGCCAGCUUGACUGCGAGCGUGACGGCGCGAGCAGGUGCGAAAGCAGGUCAUAGUGAUCCGGUGGUUCUGAAUGGAAGGGCCAUCGCUCAACGGAUAAAAGGUACUCCGGGGAUAACAGGCUGAUACCGCCCAAGAGUUCAUAUCGACGGCGGUGUUUGGCACCUCGAUGUCGGCUCAUCACAUCCUGGGGCUGAAGUAGGUCCCAAGGGUAUGGCUGUUCGCCAUUUAAAGUGGUACGCGAGCUGGGUUUAGAACGUCGUGAGACAGUUCGGUCCCUAUCUGCCGUGGGCGCUGGAGAACUGAGGGGGGCUGCUCCUAGUACGAGAGGACCGGAGUGGACGCAUCACUGGUGUUCGGGUUGUCAUGCCAAUGGCACUGCCCGGUAGCUAAAUGCGGAAGAGAUAAGUGCUGAAAGCAUCUAAGCACGAAACUUGCCCCGAGAUGAGUUCUCCCUGAGACUUAGAGUCUCCUGAAGGAACGUUGAAGACGACGACGUUGAUAGGCCGGGUGUGUAAGCGCAGCGAUGCGUUGAGCUAACCGGUACUAAUGAACCGUGAGGCUUAACCUU